Molecule: long non-coding RNA, 984 nt
Organism: Brachypodium distachyon (stiff brome)
Lineage: Eukaryota; Viridiplantae; Streptophyta; Magnoliopsida; Poales; Poaceae
Exons: 3
Source: RefSeq, a predicted model, not a curated record
UUUUAGGGUAGGCAGGCGAGGAGCCAAGCCAAACCCUCAGUGUUUUGGGUGCACUGUUUUCUCCAUUUUCGGCACCUCCAUCUAUAAAUCUCCCCGCGCCCUGUCGACUUCCCCCUGCCUCCUUUUUUUCGACGCGCCUUGCCCAGUGGAGAUUCAGCCGGUCCUGCGGCCAGCACUGUCGGCGGGGGGAGGUGGGGGACCUUUAGGGUUUCGCCUUUUCUAGGGGUUGUACCAUGCUUCUUCAGGGAGAGGUUGAAUUCAUUUGCAACGAACUUCCUAACCAUCAGGCAUGAGCCAGGAUUUACAUUUGAGUUGUACAUCAAAAGAACUGACCACCAAACACUGCUUUUUUUUUUUUGUAAACUCAAGACUUUAUUUAAACUAGACCAAACAGGUCACCGAUACAACAUUGAAGAUGUUCACAGCUAGAUUACAUAAAACGUCCUUAGUUGGACAAGAGGCCGAAGGAUGGCUUACUGAACUACAACCAAAGAUGCAAGAGCUCCUAGGCUUCCUCGAAGCUGCCGCCAGUGAUAGAGUCUCGUUAUCUGUUAAAAAGUUUGCACAAUGAAGAAGUUGUAAUCUUGAAGCAAUGAUGCUUGCGAGUUCCAAGGCUUGAGCUUCAGCUUGAAGGGCGCUAUCCGCUACUGAAGUUGCCUGCAAGAAGAUGGUUUUGUGCUGAUGAUGACGAGGUGCAUAGAUGAAGACUCCCAGUCCGGCGUGCUUUCCAGGACCUACACAAGAAAAAUUAAGAGGAUUUUGCUCCUUCCAAGCCGCAUCAAUAAAUAUAUUUGGGCCUUCCUUUAUCCUUUUGCUGUCAAUAGGAUAAACAGAUUUAUAAAGAGUAUUUUGGAUAGGAUCUUGUGCAAUCUCCAUUUGGAAGGUUUUUGCUUCGGUUUGAAAAAGCUCCUUAGCUCCAUGUAUGACCUGCAAUGGACUUUGAUUUAUUGAAUUGAACAAGAGAUCGUUUCUUGAUUUCCACAA